RNAcentral lists this unclassified non-coding RNA (145 nucleotides) under uncultured soil eukaryote. RNAcentral's name for it is "sequence contains 18S rRNA gene, ITS1, ITS2". The record is from RNAcentral.
UCUUGAUUACGUCCACUCUGUGUGUGUCUGGACGUUUAAGUCGACGUUGUACAUGUGUCUAAUCGUCACCCAAUAUUCAAAUGACUACUAGAUGCAUCCCUUCCCGACAACUUGGGUUGCCAACUUUCAGGUUUCUAUACUUAAG